This 112-nucleotide small nuclear RNA is filed under the name Canis lupus familiaris (dog). Its description in RNAcentral is "U2 spliceosomal RNA (ENSCAFG00805026233.1, ENSCAFG00845025109.1)". It matches the Rfam family "U2 spliceosomal RNA". From Rfam's summary of the family: U2 is a small nuclear RNA (snRNA) component of the spliceosome (involved in pre-mRNA splicing). Lineage: Eukaryota; Metazoa; Chordata; Mammalia; Carnivora; Canidae. The record is from Rfam by way of RNAcentral. RNAcentral also lists the same sequence under 1 other name.
AUCGCUUCUCGGCCUUUUGGCUAAGAUCAAGUGUAGUAUCUGUUCUUAUCAGUUUAAUAUACUUUUCAUCCCAAAGCCACUAAGUGAAACCUUUCUUCAACAUUCACCUCUG